GCUGGCGGCAUGCCUAACACAUGCAAGUCGAACGGCAGCAUAUAGUUCUGUUGAAAGACAGGAUGGGUGGCGAGUGGCGAACGGGUGAGUAACGCGUAGGAAUAUACCUUAAAGUGGGGGACAACUUGGGGAAACUCAAGCUAAUACCGCAUAAGCUCUUAGGAGGGAAGCUGGGGACCGCAAGGCCUGGCGCUUUAAGAUUAGCCUGCGUCCGAUUAGCUAGUUGGCGAGGUAAGGGCUCACCAAGGCAACGAUCGGUAGCUGGUCUGAGAGGAUGGCCAGCCACACUGGGACUGAGACACGGCCCAGACUCCUACGGGAGGCAGCAGUGGGGAAUAUUGGACAAUGGGGGCAACCCUGAUCCAGCAAUGCCGCGUGUGUGAAGAAGGCCUGAGGGUUGUAAAGCACUUUCAGUGGGGAAGAAGGUUGACUGGUUAAGAACUGGUUAACUGGACGUUACCCACAGAAGAAGCACCGGCUAACUCCGUGCCAGCAGCCGCGGUAAUACGGAAGGUGCGA
This 519-nucleotide ribosomal RNA is filed under the name uncultured Gammaproteobacteria bacterium. RNAcentral describes it as "bacterial SSU rRNA". It matches the Rfam family "Bacterial small subunit ribosomal RNA", at positions 35 to 537 of the family's 1533-position model. The record is from RNAcentral. Lineage: Bacteria; Pseudomonadati; Pseudomonadota; Gammaproteobacteria.